RNAcentral lists this ribosomal RNA (429 nucleotides) under Pseudomonadota bacterium. RNAcentral's name for it is "Proteobacteria bacterium partial 16S ribosomal RNA". It matches the Rfam family "Bacterial small subunit ribosomal RNA", at positions 355 to 776 of the family's 1533-position model. Lineage: Bacteria; Pseudomonadati; Pseudomonadota. The record is from RNAcentral.
UGGGGAAUAUUGGACAAUGGGCGAAAGCCUGAUCCAGCCAUGCCGCGUGUGUGAAGAAGGUCUUCGGAUUGUAAAGCACUUUAAGUUGGGAGGAAGGGCAGUAAGCGAAUACCUUGCUGUUUUGACGUUACCGACAGAAUAAGCACCGGCUAACUCUGUGCCAGCAGCCGCGGUAAUACAGAGGGUGCAAGCGUUAAUCGGAAUUACUGGGCGUAAAGCGCGCGUAGGUGGUUCGUUAAGUUGAAUGUGAAAGCCCCGGGCUCAACCUGGGAACUGCAUCCAAAACUGGCGAGCUAGAGUAGGGCAGAGGGUGGUGGAAUUCCAGGUGUAGCGGUGAAAUGCGUAGAUAUAGGAAGGAACACCAGUGGCGAAGGCGACCACCUGGGCUCAUACUGACACUGAGGUGCGAAAGCGUGGGGAGCAAACAGG